RNAcentral lists this ribosomal RNA (436 nucleotides) under Osmia melanocephala. RNAcentral's name for it is "partial 12S ribosomal RNA". The record is from RNAcentral. Lineage: Eukaryota; Metazoa; Arthropoda; Insecta; Hymenoptera; Megachilidae.
UAAACUAGGAUUAGAUACCCUAUUAUAUUAAUUUUUUAAGUACUUAAUUAUUAAAUGUAAAUCAUUAAAAUUAUAAGAAAUGGCAGUUAUAUAAAAUUUUAGGGGAACUUGUAUAUUAAUUUGAUGAUCCACGAUAAUAGAUACUAAUAAAAUUUAUAAUAUUACUUUUGUAUUGUUGUUUAAAGAUUUUAUAUAAAUAUUAUAAUUUAAAUUUUUUUUAGAAAAAAUAAUUCAAAUCAAAAUAAAGUAUUUAUUAGGUAAUAUGAGUUACAUUAAUUAAUAUUUUAAUGAAUUAAAAAUUUUAAUAUUUUUAAUUAAUAGGAUUUAAAAGUAAAAUUAAUAAUAUAUUAAUUUGAAUUUUUUUUAUAUAGUGUACAAAUUGCCCGUCAAUUUCAAUAAAAUUGAAAUAAGUCGUAACAUAGUAAGAGUAUUGGAA